This 446-nucleotide ribosomal RNA is filed under the name uncultured bacterium. RNAcentral describes it as "partial 16S ribosomal RNA". It matches the Rfam family "Bacterial small subunit ribosomal RNA", at positions 338 to 795 of the family's 1533-position model. The record is from RNAcentral.
CCUACGGGUGGCAGCAGUCGAGAAUCAUUCACAAUGGGGGAAACCCUGAUGGUGCGACGCCGCGUGGGGGAAUAAAGGUCUUCGGAUGGUAAACUCCUGUCUUGUGGGCGAAAAUUGAAAAGAUAGUACCGCAAGAGGAAGCGACGGCUAACUCUGUGCCAGCAGCCGCGGUAAUAAAGAGGUCUCAAGCGUUGUGGGGAAUCACUGGGCGUAAAGCGUUCGUAGGCGGUUUCGUAAGUCGUGUGUGAAAGGCGCGGGCUCAACCCGCGGACGGCAUAUGAUACUGGGAGACUAGAGUAAUGGAGGGGGAAUCGGAAUUCUCGGUGUAGCAGUGAAAUGCGUAGAUAUCGAGAGGAACACUAGUGGCGAAGGCGGGUUCCUGGACAGUAACUGACGCUGAGGCACGAAGGCCAGGGGAGCGAAAGGGAUUAGAUACCCCUGUAGUC